Molecule: non-coding RNA, 46 nt
Organism: Tyto alba (common barn owl)
Lineage: Eukaryota; Metazoa; Chordata; Aves; Strigiformes; Tytonidae
Source: Rfam
UAGAAGGUUUUUUUAAAAACCACAAAAGUUAAAGAUUGCUAUGAAG